Ribosomal RNA from Tupaia belangeri (northern tree shrew), 153 nucleotides. It matches the Rfam family "5.8S ribosomal RNA". Rfam says of the family: 5.8S ribosomal RNA (5.8S rRNA) is a component of the large subunit of the eukaryotic ribosome. The record is from Ensembl. Lineage: Eukaryota; Metazoa; Chordata; Mammalia; Scandentia; Tupaiidae.
GACUCUUAGUUGUGGAUCACUUGGCUCAUGCGUCCAUGAAGAAUGCAGCUAGCUGCGAGAAUUAAUGUGAAUUGCAGGAGACAUUGAUCAUCGACACUUCAAACACACUUGUGGCCCCAGGUUCCUCCUGGGGCUACGCCUGUCUGAGCGUUG